Planococcus citri (citrus mealybug) is the source of this 1463-nucleotide long non-coding RNA. RefSeq lists it as uncharacterized. The transcript is spliced from 3 exons. The record is from RefSeq and is a predicted model, not a curated record. Lineage: Eukaryota; Metazoa; Arthropoda; Insecta; Hemiptera; Pseudococcidae.
UGUGAUUUUAGUUUAAAUCAUACUGUCAAAACCCCUAAUUUCGGACACUUUUUCACGUUUUUCGAAAAGGGCUUUAAAACGAGCGAUUCAACUUGGUGUUUAUCUUCACAUUCUCAUAGAAUGUCAUCGUGUGAAUCGUUUUUGAGCAUCAAUUUAUAAAUUUUACGUGAUUUUGUUUAUUUAAUUUGAAUCCGAAAAGUGUCCGAAAUUAGGUCCAAGGUACCCUAAUUUCGGACACUUUUUCUUUAACGUGGGAACUCGAAAAUUUUAGUUGAAAAAGAAAUUAUUUACCUCUGAAAAACAACUCCAAUCAAAAACAGCUCGAAUCAUGAUGUGAAAUGUAGAGAAAAACAAUUUUUCAAGGAAAUGUUCAGCACUCUCAUUAUCCACUUUCUCAUUAGAAAAAUAAGUUGGUAACAUUGAACAAUUUCUUAUCAAACUCCUUGUUGAUGAUUUUACGACUCCGACUUUUACUUUUCAGAAUGGUUUUUAGGAAAAUGAGUGAAAUAAUAGUACAAUAUCUUCAUCAAAACUGAAAACACUUGAAAAAAUACCGUCGAACUCGAAAAAUACACAUUUGCAAGUGCAUCAGUGUUACCCUUCCAAUCUCGGUAAAGCGUUAACCAAAGUGUCCGAAAUAAUGAUCCGUUUCGCAACUUUUUCAGUUUUUAGGAUUUAAAUAAUAGAAACAAAACGUGAAAUUUGAUAAAUGAAUUUUAUUUUUAAUUACCAGUGACUUCUUGAUAUUUUAGAGCGAUUUUCGUGGUUAUGAAAGCAUUUGGAUAGACUCUGUGAAUAACUUUUUCCCCACACUUUACAUGAAGCACUUUGUAAAGUCCAUUUUAAUGGCUAAAUAAAUAGUGUAAAAUGAAAAUUCUUACAUCAAGGAGAUUGUCCGUGAUCUAAACUAAUAGAAGAAGUGUUCACUUUUACUUGUACCCUUGGUUCUUAUCAAUAAAAGAGCAAAAACACUGAGUGUCCGAAAUUACGUACCCUGUCCGAAAUUAGGGGGUUUGACAGUACUUAAAAGUAUUACAAAUGGUUGCUGAUAAUUUGAAAGACAGAAUAAAGAAUCAGAAAGCUGAACCUCAGUUCCUGCAGAUUGAAAGAAAUAACUCUAAAAGAAAUCGUAGGCUGGUAUGAAACAUGUCAGUUUGUUAAAUCUAUCUAUCUAAGAACAAAAUAGCCUUGAUUCCGAGCAAGAAUCAAAGAAAAAUGACAAAAAAGCUCAAUAUUGGGGUAUCGCCACACAAACUAAACAAAAAGAUCGCAAACAGAAGUAACUUUUGAGAUGAUGUACAGUUUUGCUCGGUUCUCAGUUAAUCUAAUGCAGUUACUAAAUACACAAUUGGCCAAAGUGAUCAGAGGCAAUUUGUGCAUGUAUGAUAUGAACGAUGAAAUGGUCUAAUACAUUUGUAAAGAAGUGAAAUCUUUCUAUUUCAAUAAUAAAAGGGUAGAUUAUA